GAUGAACGCUGGCGGCGUGCCUAAUACAUGCAAGUCGAGCGAACAGACGAGGAGCUUGCUCCUUUGACGUUAGCGGCGGACGGGUGAGUAACACGUGGGUAACCUACCCAUAAGACUGGGAUAACUUCGGGAAACCGGAGCUAAUACCGGAUAAUAUUUCGAACCGCAUGGUUCGAUAGUGAAAGAUGGCUUUGCUAUCACUUAUAGAUGGACCUGCGCCGUAUUAGCUAGUUGGUAAGGUAACGGCUUACCAAGGCAACGAUACGUAGCCGACCUGAGAGGGUGAUCGGCCACACUGGAACUGAGACACGGUCCAGACUCCUACGGGAGGCAGCAGUAGGGAAUCUUCCGCAAUGGGCGAAAGCCUGACGGAGCAACGCCGCGUGAGUGAUGAAGGUCUUCGGAUCGUAAAACUCUGUUAUUAGGGAAGAACAAACGUGUAAGUAACUGUGCACGUCUUGACGGUACCUAAUCAGAAAGCCACGGCUAACUACGUG
RNAcentral lists this ribosomal RNA (497 nucleotides) under uncultured bacterium. RNAcentral describes it as "partial 16S ribosomal RNA". It matches the Rfam family "Bacterial small subunit ribosomal RNA", at positions 28 to 507 of the family's 1533-position model. The record is from RNAcentral.